GACGAACGCUGGCGGCGUGCCUAAUACAUGCAAGUAGAACGCUGAAGGAGGAGCUUGCUCUUCUGGAUGAGUUGCGAACGGGUGAGUAACGCGUAUGUAACCUGCCUGUUAGCGGGGGAUAACUAUUGGAAACGCUAGCUAAUACCGCAUAACAGUAUAUGUUGCAUGACAUUUGCUUAAAAGGUGCAAUUGCAUUACUACCAGUUGGUCCUUCCGUGUAUUAGGUAGUUGGUGGUGUAAAGGCUCCCCAAAGGGACGAUACAUAGCCGCCCCGAGAGGGGGAACGGCCAAACUGGGAAUGAGACACGGCCCAGGACCCUAAGGGAGGGAGGAGGAGGGAAAUUUCGGCAAUGGACGGAAGUCUGAACGAGGAACGCCGGGGGAGGGAAGGAGGGUGUCGGAACGUAAAGAUCUGUUGAAAGAGAAGAAAGAGAGGGGGAGUGGAAAGUGCACACUGUGACGGUAUCUAACCAGAAAGGGACGGCUAACUACGUG
RNAcentral lists this ribosomal RNA (495 nucleotides) under uncultured bacterium. Its description in RNAcentral is "partial 16S ribosomal RNA". It matches the Rfam family "Bacterial small subunit ribosomal RNA", at positions 28 to 507 of the family's 1533-position model. The record is from RNAcentral.